This 465-nucleotide ribosomal RNA is filed under the name Vreelandella stevensii. RNAcentral's name for it is "partial 16S ribosomal RNA". It matches the Rfam family "Bacterial small subunit ribosomal RNA", at positions 338 to 795 of the family's 1533-position model. The record is from RNAcentral. Lineage: Bacteria; Pseudomonadati; Pseudomonadota; Gammaproteobacteria; Oceanospirillales; Halomonadaceae.
CCUACGGGAGGCAGCAGUGGGGAAUAUUGGACAAUGGGGGCAACCCUGAUCCAGCCAUGCCGCGUGUGUGAAGAAGGCCCUCGGGUUGUAAAGCACUUUCAGUGAGGAAGAACGCCUGGUGGUUAAUACCCAUCAGGAAAGACAUCACUCACAGAAGAAGCACCGGCUAACUCCGUGCCAGCAGCCGCGGUAAUACGGAGGGUGCGAGCGUUAAUCGGAAUUACUGGGCGUAAAGCGCGCGUAGGUGGCUUGAUAAGCCGGUUGUGAAAGCCCCGGGCUCAACCUGGGAACGGCAUCCGGAACUGUCAAGCUAGAGUGCAGGAGAGGAAGGUAGAAUUCCCGGUGUAGCGGUGAAAUGCGUAGAGAUCGGGAGGAAUACCAGUGGCAAAGGCGGCCUUCUGGACUGACACUGACACUGAGGUGCGAAAGCGUGGGUAGCAAACAGGAUUAGAUACCCGUGUAGUC